RNAcentral lists this ribosomal RNA (559 nucleotides) under uncultured bacterium. RNAcentral's name for it is "partial 16S ribosomal RNA". It matches the Rfam family "Bacterial small subunit ribosomal RNA", at positions 355 to 920 of the family's 1533-position model. The record is from RNAcentral.
UGGGGAAUAUUGCACAAUGGGCGAAAGCCUGAUGCAGCAACGCCGCGUGAGGGACGACGGCCUUCAGGUUGUAAACCUCUUUUAGCAAGGAAGAAGCGAAAGUGACGGUACUUGCAGAAAAAGCGCCGGCUAACUACGUGCCAGCAGCCGCGGUAAUACGUAGGGCGCAAGCGUUAUCCGGAAUUAUUGGGCGUAAAGAGCUCGUAGGCGGUUUGUCGCGUCUGCUGUGAAAACCCGAGGCUCAACCUCGGGCCUGCAGUGGGUACGGGCAGACUAGAGUGCGGUAGGGGAGAUUGGAACUCCUGGUGUAGCGGUGGAAUGCGCAGAUAUCAGGAAGAACACCGAUGGCGAAGGCAGAUCUCUGGGCCGUAACUGACGCUGAGGAGCGAAAGGGUGGGGAGCAAAACAGGCUUAGAUACCCUGGUAGUCCACCCCGUAAACGUUGGGAACUAGUUGUGGGGUCCAUUCCACGGAUUCCGUGACGCAGCUAACGCAUUAAGUUCCCCGCCUGGGGAGUACGGCCGCAAAGGCUAAAAACUCAAAAUGAAUUGACGGGGUC